Molecule: unclassified non-coding RNA, 358 nt
Filed under: Daphnandra apatela
Lineage: Eukaryota; Viridiplantae; Streptophyta; Magnoliopsida; Laurales; Atherospermataceae
Description: partial miscellaneous RNA
Rfam family: tRNA (bases 307-358)
Source: RNAcentral
UCGAAGUUCCAUCUACAAAUGGAUAAUACUUCGGUCUUAGUGUAUACGAGUCGUUGAAAGAGCAAUACCAAACUUCUUGGUAGAACAAGAAGUUUGGUAUUGCUCUGUUUGAUUCAGUAGUUUUUUAUUUAGAUAAGCAUUUUUCCAUUUUCAUUUGAUUUUUGUUUUCUAAAAAAAUUUGUAUUAUUUUUCAGGAUUGAGAUUUUAUGCCCAAUAUCUGUAUUUCWGUAUGAAGGAAAGUAAGAAAGAUUAAAUACAAUAAUAAUGAAUGGUGAAAAUGGAGUCCUUUUGAGAGAGAGAGGAGGGGCGGAUGUAGCCAAGUGGAUCAAGGCAGUGGAUUGUGAAUCCACCAUGCGCG